This 164-nucleotide ribosomal RNA is filed under the name Boesenbergia sp. NFL-2003-1. Its description in RNAcentral is "5.8S ribosomal RNA". It matches the Rfam family "5.8S ribosomal RNA". From Rfam's summary of the family: 5.8S ribosomal RNA (5.8S rRNA) is a component of the large subunit of the eukaryotic ribosome. Lineage: Eukaryota; Viridiplantae; Streptophyta; Magnoliopsida; Zingiberales; Zingiberaceae. The record is from RNAcentral.
CGAAUGACUCUCGGCAAUGGAUAUCUCGGCUCUUGCAUCGAUGAAGAACGUAGUGAAAUGCGAUACUUGGUGUGAAUUGCAGAAUCUCGUGANCCAUUGAGUCUUUGAACGCAAGUUGUGCCAGCGGCCUUGUGGUCGAGGGCACGCCUGCUUGGGCGUCAUGG